AACGAACGCUGGCGGCGUGCCUAACACAUGCAAGUCGAGCGCGAAAGGGCCCUUCGGGGGCUCGAGUAGAGCGGCAGACGGGUGAGUAACCCGUGGGUAACCUGCCCUCCGGCGGGGGAUAACCACUCGAAAGGGUGGCUAAUACCGCAUAAGACCACGACCCUUUGGGGUAGGGUUAAAGGCUUCGGCCACCGGAGGAGGGGCCCGCGUCCGAUUAGCUGGUUGGUGGGGUAAAGGCCUACCAAGGCGACGAUCGGUAGCUGGUCUGAGAGGAUGAUCAGCCACACUGGUACUGAGACACGGACCAGACUCCUACGGGAGGCAGCAGUGGGGAAUAUUGCGCAAUGGGGGAAACCCUGACGCAGCAACGCCGCGUGGGUGAUGAAGGUCUUCGGAUCGUAAAGCCCUGUCAGGUGGGAAGAAUCCUGUGUAUACAGUUGACGGUACCACCAAAGGAAGCACCGGCUAACUCCGCG
Molecule: ribosomal RNA, 476 nt
Filed under: uncultured bacterium
Lineage: Bacteria
Description: bacterial SSU rRNA
Rfam family: Bacterial small subunit ribosomal RNA
Source: RNAcentral